AUACGGAGGGUGCAAGCGUUACUCGGAAUCACUGGGCGUAAAGCGCGCGCAGGCGGCUAUUUAAGUUGGAUGUGAAAGCCUACGGCUCAACCGUAGAACUGCAUCCAAAACUAUUUAGCUAGAGUGUGGGAGAGGAAGAUGGAAUUAGUUGUGUAGGGGUAAAAUCCGUAGAGAUAACUAGGAAUACCAAAAGCGAAGGCAAUCUUCUGGAACACUACUGACGCUGAGACGCGAAAGCGUGGGGAGCAAACAGGAUUAGAAACCCUAGUAGUCC
Molecule: ribosomal RNA, 274 nt
Filed under: uncultured bacterium
Lineage: Bacteria
Description: partial 16S ribosomal RNA
Rfam family: Bacterial small subunit ribosomal RNA
Source: RNAcentral